This 253-nucleotide ribosomal RNA is filed under the name uncultured bacterium. RNAcentral's name for it is "partial 16S ribosomal RNA". It matches the Rfam family "Bacterial small subunit ribosomal RNA", at positions 524 to 776 of the family's 1533-position model. The record is from RNAcentral.
UACGUAGGGUGCGAGCGUUAAUCGGAAUUACUGGGCGUAAAGCGUGCGCAGGCGGCGCGUUAAGACAGGUGUGAAAGCCCCGAGCUUAACUUGGGAAUUGCGCUUGUGACUGGCGAGCUGGAGUGUGGCAGAGGGAGGUGGAAUUCCACGUGUAGCAGUGAAAUGCGUAGAGAUGUGGAGGAACACCGAUGGCGAAGGCAGCCUCCUGGGCCAGCACUGACGUUCAGGCACGAAAGCGUGGGGAGCAAACAGG